UACGAAGGGGGCUAGCGUUGCUCGGAAUGACUGGGCGUAAAGGGCGCGUAGGCGGAUGGCACAGUCAGAUGUGAAAUUCCCGGGCUUAACCUGGGGGCUGCAUUUGAUACGUGUGAUCUAGAGUGAGGAAGAGGGUCGUGGAAUUCCUGGUGUAGCGGUGAAAUGCGCAGAUAUCAGGAGGAACACCAGUGGCGAAGGCGGCGAUCUGGGAAGAUACUGACGCUGAGGCGCGAAAGCUCGGGGAGCGAACGGG
Molecule: ribosomal RNA, 253 nt
Filed under: uncultured bacterium
Lineage: Bacteria
Description: partial 16S ribosomal RNA
Rfam family: Bacterial small subunit ribosomal RNA
Source: RNAcentral